Long non-coding RNA from Capsicum annuum, 491 nucleotides. RefSeq lists it as uncharacterized. The record is from RefSeq and is a predicted model, not a curated record. Lineage: Eukaryota; Viridiplantae; Streptophyta; Magnoliopsida; Solanales; Solanaceae. The transcript is spliced from 4 exons.
CGACCUACCUUCUGCUCAUGACAUCAUGCCUAUCUGUGGCAAAGGAAAAGCUAUUACUGAACAAUUCUAUGUGUUUGAAGUUGGUUCAACAUCUGUUGCAUCGUAUGAACAACACAAUUCAGUGAAACUCACUGUUAUAAAUAAAGGUUCAACGUCUACUAUAUCGUGCAAAGAAAUCAAUCCAGAGGCAUUUAUUACUACAAAUAAAGGGAAUUUUUGAUAUCCUUAGACUUGGUAAAAAGGAGGCUUCUAUGAUAGGGAAAGAAAGCUUUCUUCCACCGAGUUUCACAGAUGGUCCAAGAGAUAUGCGACAACGUUAUAUGGACGCAAUUGCAUUAGUGCAACAUUUUGGAAAACUUGAUAUAUUUUUUACUAUGAUAUGUAAUCCCUCUUGGCCCAAAAUUAAAGAACACUUAUUGUCAACAAAUGAAGCUCAAAAUUGACCUGAUUUAGUUAUCCGCGUAUUCAAAGCUAAGGUAGAAGAAAUGCAA